This 7959-nucleotide long non-coding RNA is filed under the name Sus scrofa (pig). RNAcentral's name for it is "lncRNA (ENSSSCG00045029821.1)". Lineage: Eukaryota; Metazoa; Chordata; Mammalia; Artiodactyla; Suidae. The record is from RNAcentral.
GGAAUAUUUUGUAAUAUUAAAAGUAUCAGUUCCGCAAGGAACAUUAAAAUGGUAAAUGUGUGUGUAUUUAACAGGAGAGAUUAAAUCAACAUAAAGCAAACUUCAACAAUAAAGAGGUGAUAGAGUCAAACCUACAGGUACUUAGAGACUUUUAUACCCCUCUGUGACUAAAAGACAAAACUUUAAAAAAAAGUGAAAAAAACUGGUAAAGCUAGAAAAGGUUUUAAUUAUACAAGCAACCACUUGGAGAUAAUUUGUUGCUCAUAGAACACUGCACUACAACUGCAGAAUUCACAUCAUUUUCAAGUACACCUGGAACAUUCACUAACAGACUCAACCAAGUCUCAUUCAAUUUAAAAAAACUCAAAUUUAACAAAAUAUGACUUCAGUUAACAAUAGAGUUAAAUUCUAUAUGAAUAAUAUAAUAGUUACCCAUUUCCCACAUAUCUGAAAAUUAAAAAGCAUAGUUCUAAAUAACCAUGAUUCCAAGAAGAAAUCACAAGAAAAUAUUUUGCACUGAAUUAUAAUAAAAACACAACUUGUCAUCUCAUCAUAAAAGAAAUGUAUAGCUUUUAAGACAUAUCUUGUAAAGGAAUAAGAAUUUUAAAAUCAAUCAUUAAAGUUCCCACUUUAAAAAGCAGAAGAAAAAAAAAAAAGAGAGACAAACUAAACACAAAGGAGGAAAAAUAAAAGAGAAAAUAGACAAAAAUCUAUGAAAAACGAGCCAAAAAAUUCAACAGCUAAGGGAUUUUAACACCAGAUAGUCACAAUAAGUAUUCUGGAGGAUAAAGAUAGGCUAGGGUACAAUCUAUGUGUAAACUUCAGGACAUCAGAUUCACUGUCCCAUCACAGUACUGAAAAGGCCACUUGGGGAGCUAAAAUGUCCUGAUAAAUGGUGCUAUGAAAAUGCAAGGAUUUCUAGACAUAUAAACAGUUAUUUCUGCAAUAAAUUUACUCAUUAUAUUCCAUUUAGUUUCUCCCAGAGCAAGUGACAUUCUUCCCAUCGUUUAUAGAAUGUUGUAUGGGCCAACAGGUACAGUAAGUGAUUUCAAACACCUUUACUUGCUUGCAGUGAAACAGAAGAGAAAACUAUCUGCCUUCUGUUUACUAUGCUGCCUCAAAUAAAAAUGAUGACAAAGCACUUGAACUAAAAAUAAAUCAUAAUCUGAAGCAUUAGACUUCUUUGAAGACAAAAUAUUGACAUCUAAUCUAUUGAUUAGCUUUUGUUUGCAAAGGUAUUGUAAGAAAAGUAGAAUGUAAAUAUGAAUUAGUCUUCUUAUAAUUAAUCAUCGUACUUUUUUACCCUUGUGGUAAUGUUAUAUAACCCUUAAGAGGGAAUUAUGAUGACAUUUUAGGUAUAACCAAAGAUAAAAAAUGUUGGAGUGACUACAUUACAAAUUUAUAGGAUAACUUUUCACAGAAAAAUUUAUUGCAGGCAGGUACAGCUUUAGGAUGAACGUAGCAUGAGGGGUUCUCAUGGUGGAUGCAGUUUAGGGAAAGACAGGCCUCCAGAUCCCAAAUAGCCCCCAUAUGACUUGGCUAUGUUCCUGGAAUUUCCCCAUUAAAAAUUCAUUCUGUAGGGUCAAUAGCUUUGGGGCCUUCAAGAGACCUCCAUGAAAUUUUCAGUAACUAUUGGAAGAAAAACCCCAUAAGACACUGUAAACUAAAUCUCAAAAAUUUCUGGUUGGAACUAGCAAAUUAAACAAGAAAUGGUAGUUGUGGAAAACAAGUACCAUAAGAAGUGGGAAAAAGUACUACAAUAUUUAACCAAUUUACUCAUGUCUAAUCAGCAUUGAGACUGCUAGAGGGAAAUAAAGUCUUGUUUUAGUUUUGUUUUUAAAAGAGCUAUAUUGAAUGAUUCUACAGCUUGUAGGAUAAUCUGAGAGCCUAAAGUGUAAAAAGUGUACAUAAUAUAAAUUAAACUUUAAAACUGAAAACAGGAGAGUUCCUGCUGCAGCACAACAGAUUUGGGGCAUCUUGGGAGCGCUGGGAUACAGGUUUGAUCCCUGGCCUGGCACAGUGGGUUAAGGAUCUGGAAUUUCUGCAUCUGCAGCAUAGGUUGCACUAUAGCUUGGAUCUGAUCCCUGCCUGGGAACCUCCAUAUGCCACAGAUGCGGCCCUUAAAAAAAAAAAAAAAAAAAAAAAAAAGAAAGAAAGAAAGAAGAAAAAAACUAAAACUUUCAAGUGACUCCCUUUUGUGCUAGAAUAAAAUUGGAAUUCCUUAUCUGGACCUACAGCCCUAUAAGGUCUGGCCUCAGUGAGAGCUUCAUCUCCUCUGUCCCCUAAUUCACUACUCUGCAACCAUACUGACCACCUUCUGUUACCACACCUGCUAAGUCCUUUCCUUGCCCUGGGCUUUGCUCCCACUGUCCUCUCUCCCUACUCCCUUUCACAAGAAUGUUCCUUCUCUAGGGGUCUCCACCCCAAAUCACUUCCUUACAGAGAUCCCUCCUGACCAUCUCAAGUGGAAUCCUCCAAUAACUUUCAAUUCUAUCACCCAGCUAAUUUCACUCAUGAGAUUUAAAGCAAUCUCUAGUACCUCAUUUGCUUAUUGGUUUAUCUGCUCUCUAUUUAAUUUUUUUUUAAACUUUAGGGCCACACCCACAGCAUAUGGAGGUUCCCAGGUGAGAGGUUGAAUUGGAGAUACAGCUGCCAGCCUACACCACAGCCACAGCAAUGCCAGAUUCAAGCCACGUCUGCGACCUACACCACAGCUCAUGGUAACGCCACAUCCUUAACCCACCGAGCAAGGCCAGGAAUCAAACCUGCGUUCUUAUGGAUGCUAAUCAGAUUCAUUUCUACUGAGCCAUGAUGGGAACUCCUGUUCUCUACUUGAGAUGAUACCCUCUAUGAAGGUGGGCAGCCUAUCUGUCUGCUUCACCCCUGUCUCUCCACAGCUCAGCACGGUGCCCGGCCUACAGGAGAGAUUUCAGCUGUUCAGCUUCCUACUGUUUUUACCAUUAUUACAAAUUAUUACAAAAACCACUUCAGUGAGACUGUCCUGUCCUAAGUGCCAAUUUGUUUCUUUUCUUUUGAAGCAGGUGGAAACAGUGGAAGUAGUGAAAGAUUUUGGAAAUGCUUUGAAGGUAAAGACUACCUUUUCUGAUAGAUUAAGCAUGGAAAGUGAGCCAAAGAGACAAAGGUGAUUUCAAGGUCCAAAUUAAUGGAAGGAUAAAUUUUCCAUUCACUGAGAAAAUAAUGUAAUGGGCAGUUUGGGGUCAGAAGGAAAUUAGUUAAAUUUUGGAUAUAUUAAAUUUGAGGUGCUUAUCAGACCAUAUAAUGAAAACACAGCAUAGGUGGUUGUAUACCUGAGUAUAGAAUUCAAGGGAAAAAUUAGACUCCUAAGGAGCUGAGACCCACUAAAAAUACUUAUCAUCAUGAAUCUCACUAACCUAAAUCAACUGAAUGACUUAUUUCACUUUUUCUCCAGAUGCUUCAGCUACAUGCCUAGUUUCCUCAGGUUUGCCUAGGUUGAAAUCCUAUAGGAUAAAUUUGGCCAAGAUCUUUGGCUAAAUACCAGGCCCUAACUUUUGCGGCUAAAUGCACAGCAAAUAUUUCUCCUUCACCUUAUUUUCUGCUUUAAAAAUACUGAUCUGGAUGGUUGUCAAAUUACUGAGUAUCAAAUGGAGCUGUGCAACUUAUUUUAAAAGGAAAAUAAUUCCAUUAACUCUUUCAUAUGCAAAGAAUUGACGCUUCAAAUCAUAUAGGAACAUGGGAUAAGUGAUCCUUUAUAGGUAUCUAUUUUUCCUUUCUUCUCUCUGUUGUUUGCAAGUAAUACACUCCAUUUCUUGGAAGUGCUUGGCAGUUUAUAAACCUAAAUCAAUCAGGCAAUGCAUAACACUGAAACAGGGGGUCUGUGUUCAGCUAUAAGUGAAAAUAGUUAUUUGUCUAUCUUUAGAUAUAAUAGUUACUUUAGACAGUGCCAUUUUAAUUAACUGUUGUAAAUAUUUGCACUAGUUUUCAUCCUAUACUGUGGACAUUUUACUAGACUCUAUUAAAACUCCCUUUGAGACACAGAGCUAGAAAAGACAAAUAAGAACAAAAUAAAUAUAGAGGACAUAUUUUAAUACAGCUUCUUGAACAGAGGAAAGCAAUUCCUUGUAAGUUUAAAACACUGGACUUUCAAAUAGAGAUGUUGAUUCUGGGAGAAGGGAGCAGCACAGCUUACCAUCAAAGGUAACAGAAAAUUUGCUAUUUAAAUAUGACUAGGCAUUUGUUUUCAUUCAAGAAUUACUAAAGAUUUUAGCUCCAGAAAGUUGACAAAAUUUUUGUCAGUUACUGUCCAUGUAUCUUUAGGAGCAAAUCUAUUUCAGUUUUAGAGUUUUGCUGCCUCUCUGUGAGAAUUACAGAAGUCUUUCAAAUAUGGGAGAAACAAAUGGUCUGCAGUACCCCCAGAUGUUCUAAAACAGGCAUGCUUAAAUUCACACAGUUAUAAAAAAAAAAUCAAACCAUUCUCCUUUUGUUAUUCCAUUCAAAUGUCUACCAACUUUAAGUAGGAGAAGUGAAGUGAAAAUGAGGAAAGAAAAGAAAGAGGGGGAUGGACCUGGAUGGUAUGGCAGGGCUACUUCCUUGCAUGUCUAAAUCAGGCUUGAGUUUCGUUAUCAUUAAAACAUAAAAGACAUUUAUUGUUCUGGGCUAGUUUCACCCUCAGUGACUCCCUAAUAGUACCCAGUUUUCUACCAAGACAGUUCCAAGGAUUGUAAUCUUUUGUGGUCCCAUCAUACAAAAAGACUAGAAGUGUACUUUCUUUUAUUUUUUCCUUCAUUUUAGGGCCACAUCUGUGGCUAGGAGUUGAAUUGGAGCUGCAGCUGCCAGCCUACACCAUAGCCAAAGCAACACUGGAUCCAAGAGGCAUCUGCAACCUACACUGCAGCUUAUGGCAACACCAGGUCCUUAACACACCGAGCAAGGCCAGAGAUCAAACCCACAUCCUCGUGGAUGCUGGUCAGGUUCACAAUCCACUGAGCCACAAGAGGAACUCAUAGACGUGUCCUUUCUAUCACAGCUUACAGAUACAAAUGGGUGUUAAAUUGACCUAUUUUUUUUUUCCACCAACCUUAUAUUGUUGUGGAAGUGGGAGGUUUGUUUUCUUUGGCUUUGUUUAUAGUGCAAGUCUGUUUUCCCUCAGGUUGUUAUCCAGUUAUUUUAAAAAUCUACUUGAACUUGAGAAUGACAAUAUAUUUUAUGAUCAGUUUUACCCCUUCUUUUAGUCUCCAAUAGAAUCAAAAUGCAAGCGGGCUGAGAAAACCGUAUUGGAGUUGGCUAUCCACAUACUGGAGGGAAAAUAUGCCUGUCAUCCCACUGUUGUGACUCACCAAGACAGCCAAAUAGGAUCAUUCAAGUCCUAAAGGGAAUUUUAGGGGUCUGAAUUGCCUACUUUGGCUGUCUACAUCAAUCAAAUUUACUGCCCUCUUGACCAAUCCCCAUUCAUGUGGUAACAUACAGCCACAAUUAACGGGGAAAGAGAUGGAACAGCUUUCUGCUGGUGAGGCUUGCUCAGCAAUAGCGCAUACGAACUACUGAGGAAUUUCCAUUUCUGAUGAUUGGAAACACCACUGAGCCAUGGUUAGAUUAGCCGCAUCCUUGACAAUAGAAAGGAAAGAAAGAAAAAUGCCCUCUUGAAAAAUCCUUUAGUGCUUCUUUUCAUUUAAGUAUAUUCUUUCCUAAAUAGUGUUCCGUGUAUAUAUACCCCCCCCAAAAAAAAGUUUCUUUUUCAUAUCUUCCAAACAAAUGACCCCAACUGUAGGCCUAUCACUUUGUCAUAUUCCCGAACAUAUCUAACCUAGUGGCAAUAAAACUUGGAAAUUCAAGGCUAACAUGACUGAGCCAGGAGUGAAAGAAUUCAGAGUAAUACUACUACUCACCAGUCUUAUCUAGACUCAAGUGUUAUAUCAAUGGAUAUAUUAGAAUCAAGAGGGAGAGAUUUUUAUAACAUUGGGAUUAUUAAUAGAGUAGUACAUGGAAUAGAACAGGAGGGGGGGAUAAAGGAACCUGUGAAUUAUUUUAUUUGCCAUUUAUGCACCUGCACUUGUCACAGGUAUGCUUGUCCUUCAGUGCCAGCAAAGUGCUCUGCGAUGGCUGAGGACAGCUGGGUGAAUAGAGAGAUGUUGUAGCUUAUCUAAAUGAAGCAGAGGGUCUUGCUGGUAGACUUAAGAUGCCUGGGCCUGUUCAGUUGUCUGGGCUGCUAUUCCUGCCGCCACUUCCAUGGCUCCCUCCUUCCCUCCCCAUCCAGGGCUGUGCUAUAGAGAUAGGCUGAAAAUAAACCUGGAAAGGAGUCGGUCUGGGUUAAGUCAACUCACACUUGUCAAAAAUGCCUCAGAGAUCAAUAUGCAGAUAUAAACAAAGAGGUGAUAGCCCAGGUUCCCAGUGGGGGUUAAUGACCCUGCCCAAGCUGUGUCACUUCCUAGGCUCUUCUCUUCCAACCAGAUAUGGUCCCGCCAGGUAUGUUGUCUGAGCACCAGAUGGAAUUCACUGCUUAUUGUCCUCCUUAUGUUUUAUCUGUGGCCAGAAGGUGAACAUUAUAGAUCCAUAGGCAUUUCAGAGUUUGUGAGGAUGCGUAUGUCAUUUUUUUUUAAUGCUUGGCCUUUGCAGAAAGACUCCUGGAAAUCACUGCUGGCUGCAACAUGUGCUGUUUAUAGCCCAGAGAGAAGAAGAAGCUUAUGAAAGCAUCAUAUGAGACUUAUUUUUGCGGGGGGGGGGUAUGAUUCACUUAUUGCAGACUCUCUUUGCCAGAUAUCACUGUGCUAAUAGGUAGCUGAUUUAUCAAGCAGCCGUGCUUUGACUUCUGUAUGACAAUACUGGUUUGCUUGUAUAAAUAGUUUAGUAAAAUUACAAUGUGAAAGGAGACUUUUCCUUUGAAUAUCCUGAUGUAGUAAAACAAAACAAAACAAAACAAACAAGCAAAAACACUGGAAGACAUUAGUUCUAGCUCGACAAGACUCAGGUUACUGAACUAUUGUGAACAGCCAACAAUCAAGUGACUUAUCACAUCAGAUAUGAUGGAUGCUUAGCAAUUACUGAUCUUAUACUACAGUGACAGAGUUGGUGUUGAAAGUGGAAGCCAUUCAGAAUGAUAAAUGGUUAUGACAAUUUACUAAAGAUACAAGGCAUGAUAAGUGUUGGAUAUAGAUGCACCUAUUUAAGAAGGAAGUGGAAGAUGAAAGAAAGAAAGAAAAAAAAAACAAGGAAAAGGGAAUUUAUAAUGUGAAAAUUAAGUUUGGGAGGAAAAAGAUAUGUAGCACACACUGAAUUUAUAAACAAAUGCAGAAAUUCUAGAAAUGCAGCAGCAAUAUAGUUUGGAGAUAAUGAAGACAUGCAGGCAACAGAUGUGUCACACAAUUUUCAUACAAUUCAUGGCACCAUCGUUCAUCCUCCUUAUUGGUACCUUCCAUCAAUCCCUCCCAGUCAUUGCAAUCCUCCACUGGGUUCCAUACUGCAGAAAUCUGGGGCCUGUUUGGAGAGCAUUUGGAACCUGAUUUGAGGCUUCUGAUUUCACUGCAGUCCUAGGCAAGAACAUUUUGGUGUAGUCUGGUUGACUUGUUUGGGCUGUGUUCUAGUUUCUCAUGGACGAUGUGAAGUAUUAGACCUUAAGAUGCUAAGGGGAGAAAGUUAAUCUCUUAAAUGUAUAUUUUUGCACCUUGUCUGAUGAAUAAACUGAUAGACAUAGUGUGCCACUAUUAAUGAUAUAAAUACAGCAUUAACAAAUCUUAAACAAAAUUGGAAAGAUUGGUAAAAAUUUUAAAAGACAGGAGUUCCUGUGGUGGCUCAAUGGUAAUGAACCUGACUAGUAUCCAUGAAGAUGCGGGUUUAAUCCCUGGCCUCACUCAGUGGGUUAAGGACCUGGUGUUGCCACAAGCUGCAGCAUAGGUUGUAGAGGUGGCUCAGAUCUGGCAUUGCUGCGGCUGUGGCAUAGGCUGACAGGUGUAGCUCUGAUUUGACCUCUAGCCUGGGAAUUUCCAU